GAUGAACGCUAGCUACAGGCUUAACACAUGCAAGUCGCAGGGUAACAUGAGGAAAGCUUGCUUUCCUUGAUGACGACUGGCGCACGGGUGAGUAACGCCUAUCCAACCUUCCCAUAACUACGGGAUAACCCGUUGAAAGACGGCCUAAUACCGUAUGAUAUCGUUUGCUGACAUCAAAUAACGAUUAAAGGUUUAGCGGUUAUGGAUGGGGAUGCGUCUGAUUAGCUUGUUGGCGGGGUAACGGCCCACCAAGGCGACGAUCAGUAGGGGUUCUGAGAGGAAGGUCCCCCACAUUGGAACUGAGACACGGUCCAAACUCCUACGGGAGGCAGCAGUGAGGAAUAUUGGUCAAUGGGCGAGGGCCUGAACCAGCCAAGUAGCGUGCAGGACGACGGCCCUAUGGGUUGUAAACUGCUUUUAUGUGGGGAUAAAGUGCGUGACGUGUCAUGCAUUGCAGGUACCACAUGAAUAAGGACCGGCUAAUUCCGUG
RNAcentral lists this ribosomal RNA (490 nucleotides) under uncultured bacterium. Its description in RNAcentral is "partial 16S ribosomal RNA". It matches the Rfam family "Bacterial small subunit ribosomal RNA", at positions 28 to 507 of the family's 1533-position model. The record is from RNAcentral.